GAUGAACGCUAGCGGCAGGCUUAACACAUGCAAGUCGAGGGGGUAUAGGGAGCUUGCUUCCUAGAGACCGGCGCACGGGUGCGUAACGCGUAUGCAAUCUACCUUUUGCAGAGGGAUAGCCCAGAGAAAUUUGGAUUAAUACCUCAUAGUAUGUGAGAAUGGCAUCAUUUUCACAUUAAAGUCACAACGGCAAAAGAUGAGCAUGCGUCCCAUUAGCUUGUUGGUAAGGUAACGGCUUACCAAGGCAACGAUGGGUAGGGGGCCUGAGAGGGAGAUCCCCCCANACUGGUACUGAGACACGGACCAGACUCCUACGGGAGGCAGCAGUGAGGAAUAUGGACAAUGGGCGCAAGCCUGAUCCAGCCAUGCCGCGUGCAGGAUGACGGU
Molecule: ribosomal RNA, 387 nt
Filed under: uncultured bacterium
Lineage: Bacteria
Description: bacterial SSU rRNA
Rfam family: Bacterial small subunit ribosomal RNA
Source: RNAcentral